This 1021-nucleotide ribosomal RNA is filed under the name Penicillium javanicum. RNAcentral's name for it is "SSU rRNA". It matches the Rfam family "Eukaryotic small subunit ribosomal RNA", at positions 72 to 1102 of the family's 1831-position model. The record is from RNAcentral. Lineage: Eukaryota; Fungi; Ascomycota; Eurotiomycetes; Eurotiales; Aspergillaceae.
CUUUAUACUGUGAAACUGCGAAUGGCUCAUUAAAUCAGUUAUCGUUUAUUUGAUAGUACCUUACUACAUGGAUACCUGUGGUAAUUCUAGAGCUAAUACAUGCUAAAAACCCCGACUUCAGGAAGGGGUGUAUUUAUUAGAUAAAAAACCAACGCCCUUCGGGGCUCCUUGGUGAAUCAUAAUAACUUAACGAAUCGCAUGGCCUUGCGCCGGCGAUGGUUCAUUCAAAUUUCUGCCCUAUCAACUUUCGAUGGUAGGAUAGUGGCCUACCAUGGUGGCAACGGGUAACGGGGAAUUAGGGUUCGAUUCCGGAGAGGGAGCCUGAGAAACGGCUACCACAUCCAAGGAAGGCAGCAGGCGCGCAAAUUACCCAAUCCCGAUACGGGGAGGUAGUGACAAUAAAUACUGAUACGGGGCUCUUUUGGGUCUCGUAAUUGGAAUGAGAACAAUUUAAAUCCCUUAACGAGGAACAAUUGGAGGGCAAGUCUGGUGCCAGCAGCCGCGGUAAUUCCAGCUCCAAUAGCGUAUAUUAAAGUUGUUGCAGUUAAAAAGCUCGUAGUUGAACCUUGGGUCUGGCUGGCCGGUCCGCCUCACCGCGAGUACUGGUCCGGCUGGACCUUUCCUUCUGGGGAACCUCAUGGCCUUCACUGGCUGUGGGGGGAACCAGGACUUUUACUGUGAAAAAAUUAGAGUGUUCAAAGCAGGCCUUUGCUCGAAUACAUUAGCAUGGAAUAAUAGAAUAGGACGUGCGGUUCUAUUUUGUUGGUUUCUAGGACCGCCGUAAUGAUUAAUAGGGAUAGUCGGGGGCGUCAGUAUUCAGCUGUCAGAGGUGAAAUUCUUGGAUUUGCUGAAGACUAACUACUGCGAAAGCAUUCGCCAAGGAUGUUUUCAUUAAUCAGGGAACGAAAGUUAGGGGAUCGAAGACGAUCAGAUACCGUCGUAGUCUUAACCAUAAACUAUGCCGACUAGGGAUCGGACGGGAUUCUAUGAUGACCCGUUCGGCACCUUACGAGAAAUCAAA